GACGAACGCUGGCGGCGUGCCUAAUACAUGCAAGUCGAACGAGAGCGACCGGUGCUUGCACUGGUCAAUCUAGUGGCGAACGGGUGAGUAACACGUGGGUAACCUGCCCAUCAGAGGGGGAUAACAUCCGGAAACGGAUGCUAAAACCGCAUAGGUCUUCGAGCCGCAUGGCUUGAAGAGGAAAAGAGGCGCAAGCUUCUGCUGAUGGAUGGACCCGCGGUGUAUUAGCUAGUUGGUGAGGUAACGGCUCACCAAGGCCGUGAUGCAUAGCCGACCUGAGAGGGUGAUCGGCCACAUUGGGACUGAGACACGGCCCAAACUCCUACGGGAGGCAGCAGUAGGGAAUCUUCCGCAAUGGACGCAAGUCUGACGGAGCAACGCCGCGUGAGUGAAGAAGGUUUUCGGAUCGUAAAACUCUGUUGUUAGAGAAGAACAAGUGCUAGAGUAACUGUUAGCGCCUUGACGGUAUCUAACCAGAAAGCCACGGCUAACUACGUG
This 498-nucleotide ribosomal RNA is filed under the name uncultured bacterium. RNAcentral describes it as "partial 16S ribosomal RNA". It matches the Rfam family "Bacterial small subunit ribosomal RNA", at positions 28 to 507 of the family's 1533-position model. The record is from RNAcentral.